ACUACCCCAGCCACCCAACAAUUGUUGUUUACACGCCUUGAGUUGAGGGGGAAAGGAAUUUGCAUAAAGCAGCCUUGUCGGGGAUAUGGAGGAGUCCCCGGCGGAGUCGGAUGGCGAUGACGAUGUCGCCAACUUGUUAGCGGACGCUGGCAUUUUUACUUCAUAUGCAGAGAUAAUGUGCCGCCCAUUGCCACCCAAUGGCCACGUCCGUGCUAUCCCCAUUUCACCCCUUCUAUCACCCACACACAUGUCAGUCGCGGUCUCCGUGCUCCGUGUUCCUUCUUCUUGCUUCGUAUUCCGUAUUCCGUGCAAUGUCAUGGCUGCAUGCGUGGCUAAGGGAGCAAAACUUCCAAACCUUUGCGAGAUGAUAUGGAGAGCCGUCGCAGAGGACUUUUUUAGUGAUUAGCGAUACGGUCCUAAAAAUAUGUUUUCUUAAAUUUCGGACUUGAAAU
Non-coding RNA from Drosophila melanogaster (fruit fly), 452 nucleotides. Lineage: Eukaryota; Metazoa; Arthropoda; Insecta; Diptera; Drosophilidae. The record is from Ensembl.